GACUGCAGGCUGCAACUCGCCUGCACGAAGUCGGAAUUGCUAGUAAUCGUAGGUCAGCAUACUACGGUGAAUACGUUCCCGGGCCUUGUACACACCGCCCGUCAAACCAUGAGAGUUGGCAACACCCGAAGUCGGUAGUCUAACCGCAAGGAGGACGCCGCCGAAGGUGGGGUUGAUGAUUAGGGGUUAAGUCGUAACAAGGUAAC
This 206-nucleotide ribosomal RNA is filed under the name uncultured bacterium. Its description in RNAcentral is "partial 16S ribosomal RNA". It matches the Rfam family "Bacterial small subunit ribosomal RNA", at positions 1296 to 1500 of the family's 1533-position model. The record is from RNAcentral.